AUUUUGAAGCACUGAAAACGAACUUAAAGACGUGUGCUAAAGGGACAAAAUUGAGGGUCUACAAAUAUGCCCCUCUUCGGUAUAGAUCACGAGUGUAGACAAUGUGAGUAGAAACACGAGUAAUGAGCGAAAUGAAGUGAACUAUAUCGAAGAAUUAAAGAAAGACCAGAGAUUUUGUCCUAGCACACGAAAAGGUAAGGUCAAAAGGUGGG
RNAcentral lists this long non-coding RNA (212 nucleotides) under Vitis vinifera (wine grape). RNAcentral's name for it is "long non-coding RNA (VVIN_LNC001091)". Lineage: Eukaryota; Viridiplantae; Streptophyta; Magnoliopsida; Vitales; Vitaceae. The record is from RNAcentral.